This 320-nucleotide ribosomal RNA is filed under the name uncultured bacterium. Its description in RNAcentral is "bacterial SSU rRNA". It matches the Rfam family "Bacterial small subunit ribosomal RNA", at positions 470 to 789 of the family's 1533-position model. The record is from RNAcentral.
UGACGGUACCUGACUAAGAAGCACCGGCUAAAUACGUGCCAGCAGCCGCGGUAAUACGUAUGGUGCAAGCGUUAUCCGGAUUUACUGGGUGUAAAGGGAGCGUAGGCGGCAGGGCAAGUCUGAUGUGAAAACCCAGGGCUCAACCUUGGGACUGCAUUGGAAACUGUCUAGCUAGAGUGUCGGAGGGGUAAGCGGAAUUCCUAGUGUAGCGGUGAAAUGCGUAGAUAUUAGGAGGAACACCAGUGGCGAAGGCGGCUUACUGGACGACAACUGACGCUGAGGCUCGAAAGCGUGGGGAGCAAACAGGAUUAGAUACCCUG